RNAcentral lists this transfer RNA (87 nucleotides) under Thermoleophilia bacterium. RNAcentral describes it as "tRNA-Ser". It matches the Rfam family "tRNA". From Rfam's summary of the family: Transfer RNA (tRNA) molecules are approximately 80 nucleotides in length. Their secondary structure includes four short double-helical elements and three loops (D, anti-codon, and T loops). RNAcentral also lists the same sequence under 1 other name. Lineage: Bacteria; Bacillati; Actinomycetota; Thermoleophilia. The record is from RNAcentral.
GGAGGGGUGGCCGAGUGGUCGAAGGCAACGGUCUUGAAAACCGUCUCAGGCGCAAGUCUGACGUGGGUUCGAAUCCCACCCCCUCCG